GUAGGUGGCAAGCGCUGUCCGGAAUUAUUGGGCGUAAAGCGCGCGCAGGCGGUCCUUUAAGUCUGAUGUGAAAGCCCACGGCUCAACCGUGGAGGGUCAUUGGAAACUGGGGGACUUGAGUACAGAAGAGGAAAGCGGAAUUCCAAGUGUAGCGGUGAAAUGCGUAGAGAUUUGGAGGAUCACCAGUGGCGAAGGCGGCUUUCUGGUCUGUAACUGACGCUGAGGCGCGAAAGCGUGGGGAGCAAACAGGAUUAGAUACCCUGGUAGUCCACGCCGUAAACGAUGAGUGCUAAGUGUUAGGGGGGUUUUCCGCCCCCCUUAGUGCUGCAGCUAACGCAUUAAGCACUCCGCCUGGGAGUACGGCCGCAAGGCUG
RNAcentral lists this ribosomal RNA (374 nucleotides) under uncultured organism. Its description in RNAcentral is "partial 16S ribosomal RNA". It matches the Rfam family "Bacterial small subunit ribosomal RNA", at positions 527 to 896 of the family's 1533-position model. The record is from RNAcentral.